Long non-coding RNA from Centropristis striata (black sea bass), 559 nucleotides. RefSeq lists it as uncharacterized. Lineage: Eukaryota; Metazoa; Chordata; Actinopteri; Perciformes; Serranidae. The record is from RefSeq and is a predicted model, not a curated record. The transcript has 3 exons.
UUCGAAUCAACUUCUGGUCGUGACUUGCAGUGUAGGUCUGCAGCUAGACCCCUCUCAAAAAACUCAGUCCUCACGGAGAGAAACCCACUAAACCUCACUGAAGAAUAAUAAUGAUCACUGUGCCACAGAGGUACCAAAGGCACUGAGCAGCUCAUGGAGUCCAUCAUCAGAGGAGACUUUGAGACGUCUGUAUCAUUGAAGUUGUGUCUGCAUCCAGAACGUAGAGAAGUCUCCAAACAUGGCUUCUACAGGACAGUCGGCCUUAGGUUACGUCAGGAAUGCCAGAAAGUACCUUGUGGGAAAAUUAAAGAAUCUCUCAGUGAUUCUGGACAACUUGAACCAGGAGAACUCAAAGCAGCAAAGAGUUUUAAUUGAUGCAGCAGUCAGAGAAAUACAGGCAAAGACAAAUGAUGACGAUAAAAUCAGAGACAUAGUGGACAGAGUCAUCAAACAGGGGGAAGCUGCCUGCUACGAGUUCCUCAGGGUCAUUUACUUGACCAGAAAGAGGACCUUAGAUGUUGACCUGCACCACUGGAUCAUCAGCUUUCCUUUCAGUGAA